AACGUAGACUUGGCCGACGAGGUUCGAAGUGUAGUAUCUUUUCUUAUCAGCUUAAUAUCUGAUGCGCGUUUUAUUUCGGGCUAAAAUAUUAAGUUUACUUUGGCAAGUUGGCGUAGUGCAUAACGCCAGCUUUACGUCUGGCCAGCGUCGGCCCAGUAUUGCACUAUCCUCAGGAUCGGCCCAUGUAUG
This is a small nuclear RNA of Dermacentor andersoni, 189 nucleotides long. RefSeq annotates it as U2 spliceosomal RNA. Lineage: Eukaryota; Metazoa; Arthropoda; Arachnida; Ixodida; Ixodidae. The record is from RefSeq and is a predicted model, not a curated record.